GAGCAACCUGGCUCUAAGAGGGGGACAACAGUUGGAAACGACUGCUAAUACCGCAUAACGUAUCGGGAUGGCAUCUUCCUGAUACCAAAGAUUUUAUCGCUUAGAGAUGGGCUCGCGUCUGAUUAGAUAGUUGGCGGGGUAACGGCCCACCAAGUCGACGAUCAGUAGCCGGACUGAGAGGUUGAACGGCCACAUUGGGACUGAGACACGGCCCAGACUCCUACGGGAGGCAGCAGUGGGGGAUAUUGGACAAUGGGGGCAACCCUGAUCCAGCGACGCCGCGUGAGGGAAGAAGGUUUUCGGAUUGUAAACCUCUGUUGACGGAGAAAAAAAUGAUGGUAUCCGUUUAGAAAGCCACGGCUAACUAC
This 368-nucleotide ribosomal RNA is filed under the name uncultured bacterium. RNAcentral's name for it is "bacterial SSU rRNA". It matches the Rfam family "Bacterial small subunit ribosomal RNA", at positions 119 to 504 of the family's 1533-position model. The record is from RNAcentral.